UACGUAGGGGGCGAGCGUUUGUCCGGAGUUACUGGGCGUAAAGCGCACGCAGGCGGUGCUGCGCGUUUGGGGUUACAGCUCCCGGCUCAACCGGGAGAGCGCCUCGAAGACGGCAGCACUUGAGGGCCAGAGAGGGACACGGAACUCCGGGUGGAGUGGUGAAAUGCGUAGAUAUCCGGAAGAACACCAAAGGCGAAGGCAGUGUCCUGGCUGGUACCUGACGCUCAGGUGGCGAAAAGCUA
RNAcentral lists this ribosomal RNA (242 nucleotides) under uncultured bacterium. Its description in RNAcentral is "partial 16S ribosomal RNA". It matches the Rfam family "Bacterial small subunit ribosomal RNA", at positions 524 to 763 of the family's 1533-position model. The record is from RNAcentral.